UUUGUGAGAAGCAUAGAUGUUCUUAGGACUCUGCUCUCUACAUAGCCCAAAGCGGCAUGGAUGCCGCCAACGAAGCAAUGCAUACAUGGAAGUAUGCUUUGCUUCGUUGGCGUAUAAAUAAUAAACAUUUCUCAGAGUCCUUAGAACAACUUGCUUCGUACAAC
Firmicutes bacterium CAG:882 is the source of this 164-nucleotide regulatory RNA element. Lineage: Bacteria; Bacillati; Bacillota. The record is from Rfam.